Molecule: ribosomal RNA, 3015 nt
Filed under: uncultured bacterium 293
Lineage: Bacteria
Description: bacterial LSU rRNA
Rfam family: Bacterial large subunit ribosomal RNA
Source: RNAcentral
GGUCAAGCUACUAAGGGCGUACGGUGGAUGCCUUGGCGCAGGACGGCGAUGAAGGACGUGGUAAGCUGCGAUAAGCUCCGGUGAGCCGCAAACAGGCUUCGACCCGGAGAUUUCCGAAUGGGGCAACCCAUCGAGGGCAAUCCUCGAUCGCGCCAUCUGAAUACAUAGGGUGGCGCAGCCAACCCGGGGAAGUGAACCAUCUCAGUACCCGGAGGAAAAGAAAGCAAUAGCGAUUCCCCCAGUAGCGGCGAGCGAAGAGGGAACAGUCCAAACUGGUGGUAUGUCAAGCCUGCUGGCGUUGUAUCACCAGGGUUGUAGGGCCGGACAGGGCGUCGCGGCAGCGGCGCCGGGGAGUGAGAAACCGAUCUCCUAGCCGAACGAUCUGGAACGAUCGGCGAUACAGGGUGCAAGCCCCGUAGGCAAAAAGAGAGAGGCUCCCUCGUCUGGUUCCUGAGUACCGCGGGACACGUGGAACCCUGCGGGAAGCCGGGAGGACCAUCUCCCAAGACUAAACACGUGCCUGCGACCGAUAGUGAACCAGUACCGUGAGGGAAAGGUGAAAAGCACCCCUGUGAGGGGAGUGAAAUAGUACCUGAAACCGUAUGCCUACAAGCAGUGGGAGGGCGUUUGCCGGGAUUCGUCCCGGUGUUGCCUGACCGCGUGCCUUUUGCAUAAUGAGCCGGCUAGUUUUUCUCAGUGGCAAGGUUAAGCGUUAAGCGAGCCGUAGGGAAACCGAGUCCGAAUAGGGCGAUUCAGUCGCUGGGAAAAGACGCGAAGCGAGGUGAUCUACCCAUGGCCAGGGUGAAAGUCGGGUAACACCGACCGGAGGCCCGAACCAGUAUUGGUUGAAAACAGUUUGGAUGAGCUGUGGGUAGGGGUGAAAGGCUAAUCAAACCUCGUGAUUGCCCGUUCUCCUCGAAAUAGCUUUAGGGCUAGCCUCGCGGGAUAGCUUGCGGAGGUAAAGUACUGGAUGGACUAGGGCCUUUACCGAGGUACCGAAUCCAACCAAACUCUGAAUGCCGCAAAGCCGGACCGCGGGAGUCAGACUGUGGGGGCUAAGCUUCAUAGUCGAAAGGGAAACAGCCCAGACCGCCAGCUAAGGUCCCUAAUACAGGCUUAGUGGUAAAGGAUGUGGAUCCGCUAAAACAACCAGGAGGUUGGCUUAGAAGCAGCCAUCCUUUAAAGAAAGCGUAAUAGCUCACUGGUCUAGUGGGUCCGCGCCGAUAAUUCAACGGGGCUCAAGCCUGUUACCGAAGCUGCGGACUCGAUCCGGGUUCGCCCGGGUCGAUUGGUAGAGGAGCAUUCCAUCUCCGGUGAAGCUCGACCGACAAGGACGGGUGGAGGGUAUGGAAGGGACCCUGCCGGCACAAGUAGCGAUAAAACGCGCGAGAACCGCGUUCGCCGAAAGCCUAAGGUUUCCUGAGGAAGGUCAAUCCGCUCAGGGUUAGUCGGUCCUAAGGCCAGGCCGAAAGGCGUAGCCGAUGGAAAACGGGUCAAUAUUCCCGUACUGCCGCACGGACGAUAAAGACCGAUGGGGUGACGCAGAAGGGUAAGCCAGCCCGCGAUUGGAAGUGCGGGUUUAAGGGUGUAGGGAGUCCUCGCCGGUAAAUCCACGAGGGCGUGUUCUCGAGACCUGAUGACGAGAGCUUCGGCUCAUAAAGUGGCCCAUCCCAGGCUGCCGAGAAAAGCCUCUAAGGAGUUCGUGUGGUGACCGUACCGCAAACCGACACAGGUAGGCGAGGAGAAAAUCCUAAGGCGCUAGUGAGAACACUCGUUUAGGAACUAGGCAAAUUGACCCCGUAACUUCGGGAGAAGGGGUGCCCUCUUCGGUGAGGUGAUUUACUUUCCAGGCUGAAGAGGGUCGCAGAGAAAUGGCUCAGGCGACUGUUUACUAAAAACACAGGACUCUGCUAAGUCACAAAAACGACGUAUAGGGUCUGACGCCUGCCCGGUGCCGGAAGGUUAAAGAGAGGGGUUAGCCGCAAGGCAAAGCUCUGAACUGAAGCCCCGGUAAACGGCGGCCGUAACUAUAACGGUCCUAAGGUAGCGAAAUUCCUUGUCGGGUAAGUUCCGACCUGCACGAAUGGCGUAACGAUCUGAGCGCUGUCUCAACGAGUGGCACUGCGAAUCUGUAGUACCGGUGAAGAUGCCGGUUUCCCGCAUCUAGACGGAAAGACCCCGUGCACCUUUACUGCACCCUAGCCAUGAAUUUGGGUGCGUCCUGCGCAGGAUAGGUGGGAGGCUUUGAGGCCGGGCUCUCGGGCUCGGCGGAGCCGACGGUGAGAUACCACCCUUGAUGCUCUUAGGUUCUAACCUACUUCCUUCACGGGAAGAGGGACAUGGCUAGGCGGGUAGUUUGACUGGGGCGGUCGCCUCCUAAAGUGUAACGGAGGCGCUCGAAGGUUCUCUCAGGCUGUUUGGAAAUCAGCCGUCGAGUGCAAAGGCACAAGAGAGCUUGACUGCGAGACCUACAAGUCGAGCAGGUGCGAAAGCAGGACUUAGUGAUCCGGUGGUUCUGAGUGGAAGGGCCAUCGCUCAACGGAUAAAAGGUACGCCGGGGAUAACAGGCUGAUCUGGUCCAAGAGUUCACAUCGACGACCAGGUUUGGCACCUCGAUGUCGGCUCAUCGCAUCCUGGAGCUGUAGCAGGUUCCAAGGGUUGGGCUGUUCGCCCAUUAAAGCGGUACGUGAGCUGGGUUUAGAACGUCGCGAGACAGUUCGGUCCCUAUCUGAUGUGGGCGCAGGAGACUUGAGAGGGUCUGUCCUUAGUACGAGAGGACCGGGAUGGACGAACCUCUAGUGCACCAGUUGUCACGCCAGUGGCACAGCUGGGUAGCUACGUUCGGUUGGGAUAAACGCUGAAAGCAUCUAAGCGUGAAGCCUGCCUCAAGAUGAUGUCUCCCGCAGGAUAACCUGCCUAAAGACCCCUUGCAGACGACAAGGUUGAUAGGCCCGGUGUGGAAGCGCAGCAAUGCGUGAAGCUGACGGGUACUAAUCGGUCGUGAGGCUUGACCAU